Molecule: ribosomal RNA, 494 nt
Filed under: uncultured bacterium
Lineage: Bacteria
Description: partial 16S ribosomal RNA
Rfam family: Bacterial small subunit ribosomal RNA
Source: RNAcentral
GACGAACGCUGGCGGCGCGCUUAACACAUGCAAGUCGAACGGAAAGGCCUGCUUUCCCUUGUGGAUUGCGGGUACUCGAGUGGCGAACGGGUGAGUAACACGUGAGUGAUCUGCCCCCAACUUGGGUAUAAGCCUGGGAAACUGGGUCUAAUUCCCGAUAGGACUGCAGGGUGGUGCCUGUGGUGGAAAACGAUUUUCUAGUGGUUGGGGAUGAGCUCGCGGCCUAUCAGCUUGUCGGUGGGGUAAUGGCCUACCAAGGCGGCGACGGGGAGCCGGCCUGAGAGGGUGGACGGCCACAUUGGGACUGAGAUACGGCCCAGACUCCUACGGGAGGCAGCAGUGGGGAAUAUUGCACAAUGGGCGGAAGCCUGAUGCAGCGACGCCGCGUGGGGGAUGACGGCCUUCGGGUUGUAAACUCCUUUCGACCGCGAGGAAGCCACCUGGUUGGAAGGGUGGUGACGGUAGUGGUAGAAGAAGCACCGGCUAACUACGUG